This is a long non-coding RNA of Malania oleifera, 259 nucleotides long. RefSeq lists it as uncharacterized. The transcript has 3 exons. The record is from RefSeq and is a predicted model, not a curated record. Lineage: Eukaryota; Viridiplantae; Streptophyta; Magnoliopsida; Santalales; Ximeniaceae.
AAAUCAACAAAGCCCUAAAUGUCUUAAUUGGAGUUGAGGUUUUCAAAGGCGGGGAGAAUGGAUAGUCCUAAGCUGCAUGAAAAAUUCCUACCAACUUUGGGAGUCCAGGCCUCAAUCUUGGGCCAAGAUCCACACAAUUCCUAAUAAGGCCUGAAAUCCAAGCUACCAAAUUCAGGGUUAAGAGAUCUAACCCCUCACAGAGACCUCAAUAGUACCAUUUAGGCAGGUGGAGGUGGAGGUGGCAGCAGCGAUGGUUAUG